RNAcentral lists this ribosomal RNA (368 nucleotides) under uncultured organism. RNAcentral's name for it is "bacterial SSU rRNA". It matches the Rfam family "Bacterial small subunit ribosomal RNA", at positions 526 to 896 of the family's 1533-position model. The record is from RNAcentral.
CGGAGGGUGCAAGCGUUAUCCGGAUUCACUGGGUUUAAAAGGUGCGUAGGCGGGCAGUUAAGUCCGUGGUGAAAUCUCUGAGCUUAACUCAGAAACUGCCAUGGAUACUAUCUGUCUUGAAUAUUGUGGAGGUUAGCGGAAUAUGUCAUGUAGCGGUGAAAUGCUUAGAUAUGACAUAGAACACCAAUUGCGAAGGCAGCUAGCUACACAGUUAUUGACGCUGAGGCACGAAAGCGUGGGGAUCAAACAGGAUUAGAUACCCUGGUAGUCCACGCCCUAAACGAUGAUUACUCGACAUCAGCGAUACACUGUUGGUGUCUGAGCGAAAGCAUUAAGUAAUCCACCUGGGAAGUACGACCGCAAGGUUG